UCUUAGAGUUUGCAGGCCGUCCUCCCUUUGAACAUUCACCCACCAGAUUUUAUACUCAAAAUGGAGACGCUCAUCCUGGAUUCCAGCUGCUGCAGUUUUGUGAACCCCUGGAGCCACAAGGUUGCCUUCAUCAUCGGUCAGCAUAAGGCUCAAACAUUUGAAAUACAGUUGUAUCUUGAUGGAAAUUUUCACAACUAGGAAUCAGUAAGUCUCAACUUGAGUUGAAGAACAAAUCCAAAUCCUUCUGAAAGUAUAUGGGAAGCAUUUCUGUUGUGAGUGUCUUGUACACAUUUAUGUGUUCAUGGGCUUCUGCCGUGGACCGAGCACUGUGUGCUGAGUGCUUGAGACCCAGAAGUGAACCCUGUGGACAGAAGUACCAGCUGGAGCGUGUGUGGUGUUGGAAGCAGGGAAGGACAGGAAGCAGUGACAGCAGAGACUUUGCUGGUGGCAGUCGUUCUGUGGGAGUCUCCCCAGGUGGGCAGCGAGCUCAGAGUGCACAGGAGGAAUCAUGGCUCAAGACAGCUGAGAAGUCCGACUGGAGAGUGCAGAACAAACUCCCACCUCCGUUCUCAAACUCACCAGGUGCCCAAGAGGUAAGACCGCACGUUAGACAUCCCACUCAGUGUUAUGUUUAUGGUUUCUUAAUGUGUUUUUAG
Molecule: long non-coding RNA, 656 nt
Filed under: Oryctolagus cuniculus (rabbit)
Lineage: Eukaryota; Metazoa; Chordata; Mammalia; Lagomorpha; Leporidae
Description: lncRNA (ENSOCUG00000034068.1)
Source: RNAcentral